RNAcentral lists this ribosomal RNA (248 nucleotides) under uncultured bacterium. RNAcentral's name for it is "partial 16S ribosomal RNA". It matches the Rfam family "Bacterial small subunit ribosomal RNA", at positions 523 to 769 of the family's 1533-position model. The record is from RNAcentral.
AUACGAAGGGGGCUAGCGUUGUUCGGAAUUACUGGGCGUAAAGUCGCAUGUAGGCGGACAUUUAAGUCAGGGGUGAAAUCCCGGGGCUCAACCUCGGAACUGCCUUUGAUACUGGGUGUCUAGAGUGUGGAAGAGGUAAGUGGAAUUCCGAGUGUAGAGGUGAAAUUCGUAGAUAUUCGGAGGAACACCAGUGGCGAAGGCGGCUUACUGGACUGUAACUGACGUUGAGGCUCGAAAGCGUGGGGAGC